This 446-nucleotide ribosomal RNA is filed under the name uncultured bacterium. RNAcentral's name for it is "partial 16S ribosomal RNA". It matches the Rfam family "Bacterial small subunit ribosomal RNA", at positions 338 to 795 of the family's 1533-position model. The record is from RNAcentral.
CCUACGGGUGGCAGCAGUCGAGAAUCAUUCACAAUGGGGGAAACCCUGAUGGUGCGACGCCGCGUGGGGGAAUGAAGGUCUUCGGAUUGUAAACCCCUGUCAUGUGGGAGCAAAUUAAAAAGAUAGUACCACACGAGGAAGAGACGGCUAACUCUGUGCCAGCAGCCGCGGUAAUACAGAGGUCUCAAGCGUUGUUCGGAAUCACUGGGCGUAAAGCGUGCGUAGGCUGUUUCGUAAGUCGUGUGUGAAAGGCGCGGGCUCAACCCGCGAACGGCACAUGAUACUGCGAGACUAGAGUAAUGUAGGGGGAACCGGAAUUCUCGGUGUAGCAGUGAAAUGCGUAGAGAUCGAGAGGAACACUCGUGGCGAAGGCGGGUUCCUGGACAUUACCUGACGCUGAGGCACGAAGGCCAGGGGAGCGAAAGGGAUUAGAUACCCGAGUAGUC